UACGUAGGGUGCGAGCGUUGCCCGGAUUUAUUGGGCGUAAAGGGCGCGUAGGCGACUCGGCACGUCCGUUGUGAAAUCGCCCGGCUCAACUGGGCGGGGUCAGCGGAUACGGUCGAGCUUGAGCAAGCUAGGGGGCAAUGGAAUUCCCGGUGUAGUGGUGGAAUGCGUAGAUAUUGGGAAGAACACCAGUGGCGAAGGCGGCUCACUGGCUCGUAACUGACGCUCAGGCGCGACAGCGUGGGGAUCAAACAGG
RNAcentral lists this ribosomal RNA (253 nucleotides) under uncultured bacterium. Its description in RNAcentral is "partial 16S ribosomal RNA". It matches the Rfam family "Bacterial small subunit ribosomal RNA", at positions 524 to 776 of the family's 1533-position model. The record is from RNAcentral.